UNCAAGUUCUCAUUUCUGCCUGCAGUGCCUC
RNAcentral lists this non-coding RNA (31 nucleotides) under Mus musculus (house mouse). The record is from RNAcentral. Lineage: Eukaryota; Metazoa; Chordata; Mammalia; Rodentia; Muridae.